GAUGAACGCUGGCGGCGUGCUUAACACAUGCAAGUCGAACGAAGCACUUUAUUUGAUUUCCUUCGGGACUGAUUAUUUUGUGACUGAGUGGCGGACGGGUGAGUAACGCGUGGGUAACCUGCCUUGUACAGGGGGAUAACAGUUGGAAACGGCUGCUAAUACCGCAUAAGCGUACGGCAUCGCAUGAUGCAGUGUGAAAAACUCCGGUGGUAUAAGAUGGACCCGCGUUGGAUUAGCUAGUUGGUGAGGUAACGGCCCACCAAGGCGACGAUCCAUAGCCGACCUGAGAGGGUGACCGGCCACAUUGGGACUGAGACACGGCCCAAACUCCUACGGGAGGCAGCAGUGGGGAAUAUUGCACAAUGGGCGAAAGCCUGAUGCAGCGACGCCGCGUGAGCGAAGAAGUAUUUCGGUAUGUAAAGCUCUAUCAGCAGGGAAGAUAAUGACGGUACCUGACUAAGAAGCACCGGCUAAAUACGU
This 480-nucleotide ribosomal RNA is filed under the name uncultured bacterium. RNAcentral's name for it is "partial 16S ribosomal RNA". It matches the Rfam family "Bacterial small subunit ribosomal RNA", at positions 28 to 506 of the family's 1533-position model. The record is from RNAcentral.